AUUCAUGUGUUGAAAUCCUAAGUCCAAAUGGGAUGAAAGGAGGAGAUGGGGCCUUCGGGAGGUGAUGAGGUCAUGAGAGUGGUCUUCACGAAUGGUCUCAAUGCCCUUAGAAAAGAGAUCCCAGAGACCUCGCUCCCUCUUUCUACCAUGGGAGGGCCCAGCAAGACGUCAGUCAUCUAUGAACAAGGAAGCAGGUCCUCUCCAGGCACUCAAUGUACCAGUGCCUUGAUCUUGACCUCCCAGCCUCCAGAACUAUGACAAUAAUUUCUAUUUUUUAAGCCA
RNAcentral lists this long non-coding RNA (282 nucleotides) under Pongo abelii (Sumatran orangutan). RNAcentral describes it as "lincRNA". The record is from RNAcentral. Lineage: Eukaryota; Metazoa; Chordata; Mammalia; Primates; Hominidae.